CCUUGCCAGCCCGCUCAGAACUUAAAUGAAUUGACGGGGCCGCACAAGCGGAGGAGCAUGUGGUUUAAUUCGAUGAUACGCGAGGAACCUUACCUGGGCUCGAACGUAAGAUGACUGUAGGUGAAAGCUUACAUCUCUUCGGAGCAUUUUACGAGGUGCUGCAUGGUUGUCGUCAGCUCGUGCCGUGAGGUGUCGGGUUAAGUCCCAUAACGAGCGCAACCCCUACCUUUAGUUGCCAUCAGGUUAAGCUGGGGACUCUAAAGGAACUGCCUACGCAAGUAGUGAGGAAGGCGGGGAUGACGUCAAAUCAGCACGGCCCUUACGUCCAGGGCUACACACGUGCUACAAUGGCCGAUACAGAGGGCAGCUACCUGGUGACAGGAUGCAAAUCUCCAAAGUCGGUCUCAGUUCGGAUCGGAGUCUGCAACCCGACUCCGUGAAGUUGGAUUCGCUAGUAAUCGCGCAUCAGCCAUGGCGCGGUGAAUACGUUCCCGGGCCUU
This 500-nucleotide ribosomal RNA is filed under the name uncultured Sphingobacteriales bacterium. RNAcentral describes it as "bacterial SSU rRNA". It matches the Rfam family "Bacterial small subunit ribosomal RNA", at positions 903 to 1382 of the family's 1533-position model. Lineage: Bacteria; Pseudomonadati; Bacteroidota; Sphingobacteriia; Sphingobacteriales. The record is from RNAcentral.